Long non-coding RNA from Clupea harengus (Atlantic herring), 828 nucleotides. NCBI's taxonomy places the organism in Eukaryota, Metazoa, Chordata, Actinopteri, Clupeiformes, Clupeidae. The record is from Ensembl.
ACGAGGGCGUCGUGCCUUUAUAAGACUACGUUAAUGGCGUUAAUGUUUCCGUGGAGUUAUCCCUUUCAGUUGUUGUUUAUUGAUUGUUAAACAUGGCUUCAUUUGCAAAGGUGGUUGUGUGUUUCCUCAUUGCUUGUGUCUGUAAUUCAUUCUGUUUUGCGAAGAGAGAUGUGAACUUUAAGGCAUAUGCAGUUGACCGCCAAAGUGAUGUGGUUGUCACCACAACACCCAAUCCCCACAGCCAGACCACAUCUGCCCAUACUGAAGCUGGUGGUGGUGCAAGUGAAGAUGCUACCACCCUAGCACCAAAUCCCCAUAAACAAACUACAUCAGGCCACACUGCAGCUACUGAUGAUCCCAGUGAAGAUGCUUUGGCUACCACCCCAACACCACAUCCCCCAACUACAUCUGACCACACUGCAGCUACCGAUGAUCCAAGUGAAGAUGCUUUGGCUACCACCCCAACACCACAUCCCCCAACUACAUCUGACCACACUGCAGCUACCGAUGAUCCAAGUGAAGAUGCUUUGGCUACCACCCCAACAUCACAUCCCCCAACUACAUCUGACCACACUGCAGCUACCGAUGAUCCAAGUGAAGAUGGUUUGGCUACCACCCCAACAUCACAUCCCCCAACUACAUCUGACCACACUGCAGCUACCGAUGAUGCAAGUGAGGGUGCUGUGGCUGUCCAAACUGGAACUACUGUAUCCCAUACGACUGAAGUCUGAUUCGACUGCUCCUCUGGUCACAAUGACCUGAGUCACUGUCUGGACUUUUUGCCUCUACAUGUUGACUGCAAUAAAGGACAGAUAAUUAUUAUUAUUA